Non-coding RNA from Schistosoma mattheei, 45 nucleotides. Lineage: Eukaryota; Metazoa; Platyhelminthes; Trematoda; Strigeidida; Schistosomatidae. The record is from Rfam.
AUCCACCUGACGAGUCCUAAAUGGAACGAGACGCGCGUCCUGGAU